RNAcentral lists this long non-coding RNA (3802 nucleotides) under Homo sapiens (human). Its description in RNAcentral is "HSALNT0207499". Lineage: Eukaryota; Metazoa; Chordata; Mammalia; Primates; Hominidae. The record is from RNAcentral.
CCAGCACCUGGGCAACAUUCUGCCCCCGGCCUCCUCCACUUGCUGGGCAUGCAUCACCGUCAUCUGCAGCCACUUUCCCCAAUGCCAGAAUCAGAAAUUUUCAAAAUGGUUGAAUAGUAUUUGGUUAUUUUUUGAUAGGAUAUAAUGCUUUUGUUCCUUCUUUGACUUCACGUUUUCUUUGUUCUCUAAGCUAAAUGCCAGCAUUUAAACUGUAUACCGAGACACACAAUUGUGUGAAUAUUAGCUUGAGGCUCUCUUAAGACAGACUCAGAUAUCCAAAGGCUUUGAACUCACAGAAUUUUGUAAAACUCGAAGCACAUUCGCACUGCCCUUUGGAACCUGCCUUGUCUACAGAGCUAAUAGGCAAGACCCAGCUCACCCAGGGGGCUCGGGGAUCCCCAGCCCUGCGUGACUUUGCAACACCAGCUGAGAUGCCUGGUUCCCAGUUAAGUUACUAGGAUGAGUUACAGCACUAUUUAUUCAAAACUCUGAGAGGCCCGUGUUACUGCUAAUUCCAAUUUUAACUUUUCUUCCAGAAUGGCAGGAAGCGAUGAGGGCAGCUGAGGUUUCCAGAGCUCGUGUGUAGCAGGCGCCACGGCUAGUGCAUCAUGUGAAAUUAUGUUGCUUUUCUCAACUGUGAGGUGGGGACUCAACAUGGUUUCCAUCGCAGCCCAUACAGGCUGCUGUGGUUGACCAAGCUUCCUUUGCUGGCAGGGCUGGGUGUGUUCUGCUGGCUGCAGCUCACCACCAUGCUCAGAAUGGCUCAUAAUCAUUUGUUGUGUACUGUUUUUUCCAAAGACACGUCUCUGAGACUACGUCAGCUGCACCUGGACAUGGUCACACGUCAACAUCAUACAGAGUGGUUUCUCAGGUCCUGGGCAUCAGGUUUAGAUCCACUGCCGAAAUGGAAAAUCCUGUUCUCAGACACAGCGGGACAAUUAGCAUGUGCCACCUGCUGGAAACACUAGCCACACCUGAAGUGAAAGGAGAAUCCUGGAAAGUCUUCCCCUGGAGCUACCAGACUCCCCACUCUCGAGUCUGGUGGACACGGCACUGUCAGGACCCCUCCCCUCGGCAGAGAGUGGUGGUCGGCUGCAGACUUCUUCCUUCGAGAUGUAUGUGCACAAGAGAAGAUAACAAAUGAGUCCCCAACACCUAAUCUGGAAUUUUUAUAUUAAGUUUUCUCUCUCUUAGAGAAGAAUUUUCAAAGAGUAGUCAUUCAAAAAGCAAAACACACAAACAAAACCCUAAAACUUUGAGAGACCAUUUUAUGCCUGGAGCCAAAGAUGAAUUUUAUAGGCUUUGCUUCUUUAGGUCUUGGCUCCAAAUUCUACACAGUGCUGUGUUCCUUUCCACCAUCAACAUACAGAACCAAUUCCCCUUCUGGAUUGUAUGCACUGAAGAACUUUAGCUUUAUUUAUUAACUUUUUAAAGAUCUCUCAAUUGGUUACAUAACAAACCACCACCAGCCUAGUGGUGUAAAGGAAGCAGCAUCAUUUCCCGAAAUUCUGAGGGUUGGCUGGAAGGUUCUCGGGGCUGAGACUCCUGGGCUGGGCUGGGGUGGAAGAGGGCCUCACUCACACGUGCAAGGCCUUGGCAGAGACAUGGCCUCCGAGGCACCUGAGGUCUCUGUCAUUCACUCCCUCAUUCUCAGGAGGCCAACUCGGCCUGCCCACUUGGCAGCAGAAGGUUCCCACCGCAACAGCGGGGACGUCCAAUGCCUUUCAAGCACUUCCCAAGUUUCUGCUGGUGUCAGGGCUGCUUUUGUCCCCUUGGUCAAGCUGCACCGUGUGUCCAGGCCCAGCGGUCACAGGGGAAGGGCCAUGCAGGCUCGGUGUAUGGAGGCAAGUCUGGGCACCAUCACAAACUCACCAUUUCAACAAAACACUCAUUGUUUCUGAACUAUCUUUAAAAACAACUUUUAAGAAAUAAGAAAAGCUAUUUCCAGAGCACUCACCAGUGCCACGUGCACACGGAUCAUCUAAUUCUAGGGGGGCAACUGCACGGUUUGCCCCCGACCGUCCAGUGUUAGUGUCCAAGGAAGCCCCUCAGUUCCGAGGUGAACCAACAGAACAGAUCACCCUGUGAGGUAUGAAGUGUUGUCCUCUGCAUUCGACAGAUGAGGAGGUUACAGCUGCGAGACUGUAGGCGGUUGCCCGGGCGCUCUUCCAAGUAGGUAGCAGGGCCGAGUGAAUGAGCCUAGGCACCGCCCGGUAUUGCUGCAACAGCCAGGCGGCGCUUUGACUUCUGGGUCAGUGUCACUGCCUACCUGAAUCACUCACUUCCUGUAAAAUACUUGAUUCCAAAUUACUUUGGUCUGUAUUGAAAAAUAAAAUUCAAGUUUACCUUUAAAGACAAAGAUUUGCCAUAUUUAAGGAUAUUUUAGAGAACGUGCUACUGACUCUGAAGAAGAGGCAUAAAACCGCCUUGAGGAACGGCAUCGUCUGUGCUGAAGCAGGCAGCGCCCAGCUGACGACUGUCAAUGCAGCCCUAGCAAACACGGCCACGCUGCCCUCCAUCCAGGGUCCUGUCCAGUGCUGUGCUAAGCACUUCACGUGGUGACAGCUAGCUGCACACCAGGCACGGUCAGGUGCUUAGCGUUUAUUAAGUCGUUCAAUUCUUCUGUAACCCCAUGAAAUGGAUGCUAUUGCUAGAGCUGUUUUCUACAGAGAAUUUAAGGAUUUUGCCUAAGGAGAUGUCACCAGCAAGUAGCAGACCAUGGUUUGAACCUGUCCCCCAGUCCCAAGUCUACACAUAACUGUUGUCCCACGGGUGAUAGGUGUGACAGUCCUAGGCUCCAGCUCUUUCCCCGGCGCCACAGUGCCUGCUGUGCUUGGAGACACCACCCUCACCUGACUGGGAGAGCUCCACUCAAGGACCCGCACAAAAAUAAUCCCAGCUUCCGUGGUUUCCUCACACCAUUCCCCGCUCACAGUUUACCUCCCUAGGAACCCAACACUGUUUUCCUGUAGCUCAUCACUUCACAAAUGUAUUGCCUUUUGUUAAAAUCGUGAAUAAGCCUCUGGUCUGACUGCCUCUGCGGGGUUUUUGUCUCAUUUCGUGAAGCCGCCACAUGCAUAUGAAGUAACGCUUUUUCUCCUGUUAAUCUACUUUUGCCAGUUCAAUUUGCAGGACUCCAGUCACUAAAAAACAUAAGUGAGUGAAGGAAAAGUUUUUUUCCUCACCACCUGUUUGUUGGAAAGCAAGUAAUGGCCCACCUGGUAUUCUUUUGGUCAAGACACAACGGGGAAAUGGGGCUCCGGUCAGGCCCCUCAGGUUGGGCCUAAUUGGAGCAGAAUCGGAGGGGCCUGGGCUUCUUGCUGCCAGUGGCAAAUGUCCAGUCAGGAAGUCACACGGGCAGCAGCAAUGCCGGCAAGGGACGCUUGUAGCAGGAACGGGGCAGCCUCCCUUACUCAAACAAGACGCGGACUGCCUGAGGCCGGCAGCUCAGAGAACAAAAGGCAAGUGUGAGGGGGACGGGGUCAGUACUCAGAAAGCUCCAUGUGCCUUCCUGCUGAAAGCAACAUUGAAAGCACAACAUGUGCAUUUGGUUAAAAACGCUGAGGGCUUGUGCUGGGAGGCGGCAGUGGUGGCCUCAACCAUCUCCCCGUCCGCCCGCAUGGCAACCACGACGACUAUUUCCUCUGGUCAGGCAUUUCCAACCUCCUCCUGUUAUUACAACACUCUCUACUCACUAAUUUUAGAUAGAGUCUGUGCCAGACUUCCGACUACGAUAGUGAGAAUUCAGCCAACUUGCUCUGAAGAAAUCAUACAGGGCCUAAACUUUCUGAGUCCGUAUGAG